GAUGAACGCUGGCGGCGUGCCUAAUACAUGCAAGUCGAGCGAACAGAUGAGGAGCUUGCUCCUCUGACGUUAGCGGCGGACGGGUGAGUAACACGUGGAUAACCUACCUAUAAGACUGGGAUAACUUCGGGAAACCGGAGCUAAUACCGGAUAAUAUAUUGAACCGCAUGGUUCAAUAGUGAAAGACGGUUUUGCUGUCACUUAUAGAUGGAUCCGCGCCGCAUUAGCUAGUUGGUAAGGUAACGGCUUACCAAGGCAACGAUGCGUAGCCGACCUGAGAGGGUGAUCCGCCACACUGGAACUGAGACACGGUCCAGACUCCUACGGGAGGCAGCAGUAGGGAAUCUUCCGCAAUGGGCGAAAGCCUGACGGAGCCACGCCGCGUGAGUGAUGAAGGUCUUCGGAUCGUAAAACUCUGUUAUUAGGGAAGAACAAAUGUGUAAGUAACUAUGCACGUCUUGACGGUACCUAAUCAGAAAGCCACGGCUAACUACGUG
Molecule: ribosomal RNA, 497 nt
Filed under: uncultured bacterium
Lineage: Bacteria
Description: partial 16S ribosomal RNA
Rfam family: Bacterial small subunit ribosomal RNA
Source: RNAcentral